GGAUUAUUGGGCGUAAAGCGCGCGCAGGUGGUUUCUUAAGUCUGAUGUGAAAGCCCACGCCUCAACCGUGGAGGGUCAUUGGAAACUGGGAGACUUGAGUGCCGAAGAGGAAAGUGGAAUUCCAUGUGUAGCGGUGAAAUGCGUAGAGAUAUGGAGGAACACCAGUGGCGAAGGCGACUUUCUGGUCUGUCACUGACACUGAGGCGCGAAAGCGUGGGGAGCAGACAGGAUUAUAUACCCU
This 241-nucleotide ribosomal RNA is filed under the name Geobacillus stearothermophilus. RNAcentral describes it as "partial 16S ribosomal RNA". It matches the Rfam family "Bacterial small subunit ribosomal RNA", at positions 548 to 788 of the family's 1533-position model. Lineage: Bacteria; Bacillati; Bacillota; Bacilli; Caryophanales; Anoxybacillaceae. The record is from RNAcentral.